ACACAAAAUUUUAGCUCUGCAUGAUGUGGCAGAAGCUAAAGGAACCAGGUUUGCUAAAGUAACUGUGGUGGCUACUGAGGUGUAUCCCAGUAUAGUA
Molecule: small nucleolar RNA, 97 nt
Organism: Heterocephalus glaber (naked mole-rat)
Lineage: Eukaryota; Metazoa; Chordata; Mammalia; Rodentia; Bathyergidae
Source: Ensembl